CCCCUUAGAUGUUCUGGGCCGCACGCGCGCUACACUGAUGCAUUCAACGAGUCUAAAACCUGGUCUGAUAGGGCUGGGUAAUCUUUUGAAUGUGCAUCGUGAUUGGGAUAGAUGAUUGCAAUUCUUCAUCUUCAACGAGGAAUGCCUAGUAAACGCAAGUCAUCAGCUUGCAUUGAUUACGUCCCUGCCCUUUGUACACACCGCCCGUCGCUCCUACCGAUUGAAUGUUCCGAUGAAUACCAUGGACUGAGAGUAUGAAUGGGUUCGCCUAUUUCUGCUUCUCGGGAAGUGGAGUAAAUCUUAACAUUUAGAGGAAGGAGAAGUCGUAACA
This 331-nucleotide ribosomal RNA is filed under the name uncultured eukaryote. Its description in RNAcentral is "partial 18S ribosomal RNA". It matches the Rfam family "Eukaryotic small subunit ribosomal RNA", at positions 1469 to 1796 of the family's 1831-position model. The record is from RNAcentral.